Molecule: long non-coding RNA, 1071 nt
Organism: Hydra vulgaris (swiftwater hydra)
Lineage: Eukaryota; Metazoa; Cnidaria; Hydrozoa; Anthoathecata; Hydridae
Source: RefSeq, a predicted model, not a curated record
AUAUGUGUAUACUGUAUAUGUGUAUGCGUCUAGUGUAUAUCAUAUACUCAUAUACAUGUGUAUGUGUAUAGUGUAUAUCAUGUAAUGAUGUUUAAUUACCAAAUCUUUAUCUUAAAGCAACAUGUGGCAAUAUUUGUGUUAGACAACAAAGUCCUUAUGAUUCAAGUCUGUUAGGAGUAUUUAACAUUAAAUUUAGAAAAAGUUGAACAUGUUGCAAUUUUAAAUGACAAUUUUCUCCAGUGUAUCUUGCUGCACUUGUUAUAGCUUGUUGAAAUAACAAAAUUGUAUUUGUGGAUGGUCCUUUAAGACUCACCACAUUUACUAUUAAAAAAUGUAAAGAUUAUAUGAAUGAUUAGAUUGAUUAGAUUAACUCUGUUACAUAUGACUAAAUAAGAGAAAAAUUAUCUAUGGCAAAAGUUUAUUCAGACUUUUUUUCAAUUAACGACAGUAAGACCUGAUAAAUUUAGAAGUAAACAGAUUUCAGAAAACCUACCAGGUGAUGAUCAUGAUGAUUGUGAUGAUGAUAUGAUAUACGUGAUAAUGAUGAGCAUAUGUAAUUUAGAUGGUGAUCAUCAUAUCAUGAUGUUGGUUCAUUUUCAGUAUUUUAUAGAAAUGUAUAUUAUCACAAAAUUGUAUAUUUAAGUUCAGAAACUAACACUCCACAGUUACUGAAAGCAAUUAGUUAGACAACUGAUAGGAUGGAGACCCAUCCACUUCUAUGCGCUUUAAUUCUAAAAAAUGUGCAUUGAUUGAAGAAAAAUGGACAUAUUUUAUUGUUGCCUAUUGAGAUGAUAUCAACUUAGUUGCGUGCUGAUCAGUUGCUGGAUGAAUUAAAGCUCUCAUAGCUCCAUAAAUCAGUAUAUCAUCAUCAGUUGCAUCUAAUGCUAAAACUGAAGCACAUAAUGCUGUAAAAAUAAAAGCUUUAACCUCAGGAGCAUCAGAAGAAGAGUUUAAACAUUAACUGAAGAGAUAUUUUUUGCUUUUUGGGGAUCAAAAUGGCGGACGAGAAGCUCGAGAGGCACGUUCUUUGUAUAAAAAGUUAAUUACAUAAAUAACAAUUUGAACUUUUAA